AUUGAACGCUGGCGGCAUGCCUUACACAUGCAAGUCGAACGGCAGCACGGGUGCUUGCACCUGGUGGCGAGUGGCGAACGGGUGAGUAAUACAUCGGAACAUGUCCUGUAGUGGGGGAUAGCCCGGCGAAAGCCGGAUUAAUACCGCAUACGAUCUACGGAUGAAAGCGGGGGACCUUCGGGCCUCGCGCUAUAGGGUUGGCCGGUGGCUGAUUAGCUAGUUGGUGGGGUAAAGGCCUACCAAGGCGACGAUCAGUAGCUGGUCUGAGAGGACGACCAGCCACACUGGGACUGAGACACGGCCCAGACUCCUACGGGAGGCAGCAGUGGGGAAUUUUGGACAAUGGGCGAAAGCCUGAUCCAGCAAUGCCGCGUGUGUGAAGAAGGCCUUCGGGUUGUAAAGCACUUUUGUCCGGAAAGAAAUCCUUGGCACUAAUACGGUCGGGGGAUGACGGUACCGGAAGAAUAAGCACCGGCUAACUACGUG
RNAcentral lists this ribosomal RNA (486 nucleotides) under uncultured bacterium. Its description in RNAcentral is "partial 16S ribosomal RNA". It matches the Rfam family "Bacterial small subunit ribosomal RNA", at positions 30 to 507 of the family's 1533-position model. The record is from RNAcentral.